GAAGAUCGUGGGUUUUUUGCUGACUUGGAGUUGGAGUUUGGGAAUUUUUUUGAAGAUAAUAAGGUGGCAUUUGGUAAUGAUCAUUUCAGCAGCAAAAAUGAGUGGGAUGACUUGAUCUCCGACCUUGAUUUUUGAAUUGAAAAAAUUUGUAAUUUGAUUAGUUGUUUGGUAAAAUUUUAGUAGCAUUGCUAAGAAAAAUUCUCAAACUUCGUUAAUGGAUAAUUUCUAUCUACUUCUAGUAGUUGAUUAAUACCCUUACAGAAUGUUUAUAACGUAUUUAUCUGGUGCAAAAUCAGUCAUAAUUUAUAUGAAUGAAAUGAGUCAAACGCUCCCUCAGUCUUUAUUAUGGAACUUAUCUUAUAUGUAGUAGCUAGCAUUUUUAAAAAAUAUAUACUUCUUUCCGCGAAUAUAUACUUUCUUUCCGCAAAUAUAUAUUUAUACAAAUGAAAGGAGACUAAAAAGUUCAAAACUUAAAAGCAGUAUUCACUGUUCAAUGCUCUUUUGACGCCUUCCUCGCGACGUCGUUGAAACCCCUUCUAAGCAAAGUAGCUUCUUAAUUGUGUUUUGCGCGAUAUUCUUAUGUAUAUAUAUAUAUGUUGCCAUUUGAGUCUCUUUCUAUAUGUGCGGAGAAAAAAGCCUACUGGAGUCAACAUAGAGUUUCAACUCUCAGGUAAUAAAAUUGUGUUCAUCUGAAGGUUUGAGCUUUAUGAUUUCUGGGUUUGAGUUCUAAUUAUGAACUGAAAACAAAAUUUUGUAUAACAAUCUGGAUUGAUUAGUUUAUUUGGAAUUCGAGUGUUUAGACACAGCUUACGAGAGUUCUUUUUUUCCUGGGUUGUUGAAAUCGUAGGAUAAUUCUUAUAUUUGUUAUUCUCUUUGGCUGAGUUCCAUUUUGCAAUAAUUCUUCUUCUUAGGCAUUCAGGUCAGAUACAGGUAGUAUUAAUUCAAUGGCUUACGUUCCUCCACAUAAGCGGCAUUCACUCGGCAAUGAGAGGCAGUCACCAAUUCCAGAGACAUUUGUUCCUCUCUUCAAGAGAAAUCUUAGUUUGAAAUUACCAGAGACAUCAAUAAAUAGGAGCGGAAAGAUUGUAUAUGCAGAUCAUGCCAUAUAUAGAUGGUUUGCCAUUGGUUUGGAUGAUGAUAACCAAAUUCCUCCUUACAUUUGUCUUAAGCCAGCUUCCGUGGAAUCUGUUGGGCGCAGAUCAGGAGAAAAAACUCUAGUCUUGGUCAACAGUAUUGAACCUGAUGGUUCGUAUGUCCUUUUUGGGAUUAUUCUCAUUAAUUUUCUAGAUAAUGCAAUGAGAUUAACCUUUAUUUUUUUGUUACAAUUGUGUCUGGUGUAGAGGAUUAUGAAGUGAGAGAGAAUUAUUUGACAAGUCCCUGGGUAACUAUAGCAGAAAAAGUACAGCAAGAUCUUCUAACUUCUUUUGAAAUUUUGAAGAAUGAAAUGGACUAUCCAGGGUUGGAAAUAGUUAAGCCAACAUUGGUUGCUAGAUUUUGUAAAAUUCUUUUUCAUGGGUAAGCAAUCCAAUUCCCUUGAUUGUUAGUUUCUUUUAUUUCAUAUACUAGCCUGAAAUAUUAGAUUUUACUUGGCCUUUUUUUAAAACAUAAAGUGAAUCGCUACAGCAAAGACACAGCCCCUUUUUUUUUUGGUUUUGAUAUAUUAUUUUGUACUUCUUGGUUAUGCAUGUUACAGAAACUGUCCAUAGUGAAACCUGCAAAAUUAGCGUGACCUUAACUUGUAGCCUUAAAAUCCUGGAGACUGAUCAAAUUAAAUUGCCUUGACUCAAUAAUGAGUUUUUAAUAGUUCUCAAAAACCCACAUCAUCAAUUAUGUUGUACUUGUGUUUUGAAGCCCUAAUAGUUAAGUGUAUAAACUAUAAAGUGUGACUUCUUUUUCUCAAGAACAAGUUUCUGAUUGAGUAGCUAUUGCAUUUGCCGAGGAAAGAGAGAAAUUUUUUGUUGUCUAAAAAUUGCAGAACUUCUUAGAUCACUUUGGUUUCUUACAGAAACUCCUAUAGAAUUUUUGACCUUUCGGUUUUUGAAACCGGAGUCAACUUCCUGGAUCUUGGUGUUAAGGUCGACUACAAACAUGUUCUAUUUCUCCACCUCGUGGUGUUUUAUGAAUGGGUUGAAUAUACGAAUCUUUCCUGGUGUUCAAAGCCUGGCUUAUGUUGUGGAGGAGUUGCCUGAAUAAUCUAAAGUGUGUGAUUUUGGUGUUUGUGCCUUACUUGCUGUUGCCUUGCAGUAGGAAGUUUCUGGGAGGGGCUUGAGAUGUGGAAAAAUCCUAUUAUUCUCCUUAUUAACAUUCUAGUACAUGUUGCAAAUGUUUCUUCCAUCAGUAUACUAACAGACGGGCAAGCAAAAAUUCAUCACAUUUGCUUUUUUUGGUGCAGGAACCCUCAGGUAAGCUUAGCAAACGUUGAGAAAAAUCAGGUUAAUGAAACCAUUUUGAAACGAUUGAGAAGUUCAAUUUACACAAAUAUUCCACCUUCAUAUAUGGAACUAAUGAUAGAUGAAGUUGUUCCUAAGAUUGGGGUUGAUUUUGAACAGGAAAAGGAAAUCUAUCAUGUAAAGGUAUUCCUUUGCUGCAUUCUUCUUCUUUCUACCACUCAUAAUAUCUGUUUCAGCUUGCUAAUGGUAUUUUGUUGUCUUGUGUAGUUGUCUGAUAACACACGGCCUGAUUCAACUGUUUCAUGCAAAUGUAGUGUAAAGACAGAUAAAAAACUACUACUCUACAAGGUAGUUUUUCCAUUUGAUUAGCAAGAGUACUGUCCCUAAAUGGUGCUAUAUAUGAAUUAUGAUAGGUGCGGGCUUUGUUGACACUGGUAUAAUUCGCGGGUGCCUUUCUGAUUUAAUUGAUCCUUUUCACUUUCACAUUGCAUAUGUUAUUUUUAAAAUGUACUUCUGCUUGUUUAUGGAGGUUGCCUGAAAAAAUAGGCAUUUUCCCUGUAGGUUGAACUAAACCAAGUGCGCCGGAUGGUCACGGAUAUAUCAUGCCUUGAUAGGAAUCUAGACCUCAGGCUAAUGCUAUGCACCAAGAGGAUCCUAACUUCUCUUACUGUAAGUUAAUCUGCCAUCACUUAUCAAAAAAGCAUUUGCCAUAGCCAACCAGAGAAGUGCCUGGGGCCCAUACUGUGGAGACCUUUGUCUUAUUAUUUGAUGACCAUUUUAGUUAUCCUACAUUUAGUGGCUUCACUGUUUCAAGGAAUGAUGGAAACUAUUUCAAUUAAAUGUAAGGGAGGGUAAAAAUCUUUGCCCUACAGAUUCUGUUUUAUACAACAACAUGGGAAAGAAAUCAUGGAAGGCAAAACUCUUUUAUGGGCUUGAACAACCUAGAUUGGCUCUAAAAUUGGCGGAGUAAAUUGAGAAGAUUAAAACCAUAUCUGUAAACCUGCUUCUGUUGCAGGAUAAGAUUGAAUGGAACAUCAUUCACCUAUUUUUCUGAGAGAGAUUUUUUCAUUGAACAUUGUAAAAUUUCUGAUACAUAAAAUAGUGUUUCAUAUGAAGAGCUUUAGUAAAUGCAAAAGAACUAUCAUGAUAUAUUUGAUGCCAUGAUAUCCUGAAAUUGAAUCAACUAAACCAGAACAUGUGUUUAACCUGCAUUUGCCAUGUACGGACUUUAGGUCAAAUUUUUACACCAAAGAGUGCCUUUUUAUAGUUAGACUAAUUGUAUGUACUAUUGCAUUUGCAGGUUGAUGAGAUGAAUAAAAUAAGAGAUCUGAUUGAUUCUGCAGUUUUGGAUUCAGACGUGAAGGGUGGGUUGAGAUGGCCCCUGGGGAAGGCAACUUCUGGAAAUAGAUACAGUGUAGUGGGGGUUUGGCAUACUAUAGCUAAAGCCUACAAAAAUCCAUCAGUUAGGCUCAAAGUAAGACAUGCCGAUCGAUUUGAUUUUAGGACUGGAAGUGGAGAAUCUACAAGGGAAGUUAAUCUGAAGUUGAAAGGAGUAGUGUCACGAUUGCAGGUGAGUUAUUUUUGUUCAGUUUGAAACUCCACUAUGCUUAGCUAACAUGAUGUGCUUAUAUUUACAUCCUGAAAUCUUAGGACUUUUCCCAAGUACUAUUAGUUUUAGCUUUUCCCAACUGAAAGAAUUUAUUGGUAUGGUCAUGCUUCAGUGAGUUGCAGAAUUCUAUAUACAUAGCUUUCUUGUUGCCUAUUUUGAUUUUACUAUUUUCUUGAUAAGUUUUGUUGACUGUUUAACAGUAAUUGAUAUAUUUUUUCCCCCUUGAGAAAACAAGUCUUGUUAGUUAGUCUCUGUCUCUUCAUUUGGCAGAUCUUUAUUUGUUUACAGCUUCAGUUCUUUCAAUUUUCAGGACCAGGGAACAGAAAGUGAUGCGGUCUCUAAUGUGCUUAAAGACAGCUUAAGGCUGAUAUGGGAGCACUUCUUAAACUGCAACCGGUUUUUAUCAUGAAAAACAUGUUAUCAGUUCACCUCCUCUCUGUAAAUAGUGUUCGUUUUUGAAUGACAGUUGAAGAAUGUAAUGUUGUUUUUUUGAAAUGGGGAGGGAUUUUUGAAGAAGACAAUGUUUUAAGUGUUUGAAGGAUCUGCUUUCGCCUCUUUAAAUGCAAUAAUGCCCUGUAAUUUUGUUCAUCUCUCUCUGUUGUAUUGCUCUUCUGGAUAAGCUUUCUUUGAUUUAUAUUUGUGGCUAGAAAUAUUAUUAUUUACAUUAAAUUUUAGGCCAAGGUUCAGACUAUUUUAAACCAAAUGAAUUAAUUUUUUUCCAAAAUUGAUUUUUGAAAAAGCUCAUAUUUGUGCAUAUAGUUUGGAGGUGAAGAUUUUGAUGAGUCAUGUGGUGGUCUAGAAAGUGGGAAUGAUCAAUUAAACUUUAUUAAUGAAUAAAAUGAUUCUAAAUUAGUAUUUUCUUCAUCUAUUUUUAUCUUUUAUUUUUUUUAAAAAUGUAUUUAAAAUUAUUUAUCAUUAAAAAAAAUUGAAUAUUAAUUAUUUUUUAGAGAUAUAAUUAUUGAGAUUGUAAUAAUUUAAUGAGAUAAAAAGUUUCAUAUAAAAAAACGAGAUAAAUGGGUAAUUUAAUUAAAUUAAUAAUUAUUUUGUUAAAUUUAGACAUUUUAAACGGCAUAAGAGGAGGGAGAGUUUAUUUCUUAAACUUCAUUAUUAAUUUGAGAUGAUCUAUCCAGAAAUACUGAUAUAAACCGUUUUAGAAAAAAUAAAAAGGGCAGAAAGGGAAGAGAAUGGGCACAAAGAAAUAGUUUCCUCAAGAAGGGAAAGCUUGCCUAAACAAAUGUAAUUUUCUCGUUUCCUUUCAUCUCAAAACUAACCCUUUUAGCUUCUUCCACCAUGAAACCCAAUCUAAUAACCGCCAAUUCUUUUCGAGUUUCCAAUUCCUUAACUCCUAGGAUUUCAAUUCCAUUUCCCAGACCUUCAAAUCCACUCUCCAAUCAUUUCCUUUCAACAACGUUUCACUCUUCCAAACCUUGUCGUUUCUUUCCUAUUUGAUUUUCAAAUCCCAAACAAUCCACUUUCAUUAAUGAAGCAUCGCCAGGUUCUACCGCCGAAUUGGGUGCCAUUUCAAAUGAAAGUCUAGGAGAAGAGGAAUUGGGGAGGAAUUUGAAUGUGCAAGUUGGAAAUUCAAUUGUUCCCUCGUAUUUUCAGUCGUCGACUAAGCUUAGUUUGAGUGACCAAGCUUUCUUUCUCCUGUCGUUUAUUGCUUGCACGGUAUAAAACUUCUUUCUUCUGGGUUUCAAUGGAACUUGUAGCUUAUACUUUUAGCUUGUGUUCUGGAUUUUAUAUGAUAAGAGGCAUUAGCUCAAAAUGCCGAACUCUAGAUGUAAUCAAUCUUUUUCUUUUUUCUCAAGUUAAAUCUUCAACUGAGCAAUGAACUUUGAAUUGCCUAAAUGCUAGCCUUUUGUUUUUGAAUUUUUGAUUAAUAGCAUGGAAACCUUUUUGUUUGGUAUGCAAAUUUGCAAUCUAUCUGAAUUGGAAGGAUUUGAAUUUUUUUUUUUUAUGCAUAUCAGUUAUUUAGUAGUGUGUUUAUAAGAAAACUAGCUGCUUCUGAUGUUCUAAUUUGGGUCACAGGUGAACUUACAGUUCAUACUAUGGUCAUGAAUUGGUGAGAAGAGAAAGUAAAUAACUUUUGGCCAUUCUGAGCAGUUGUUUAUCUUGGCAUUUACCACUUGCAUAUUAUGGUUUUAUUUAGCUAAAGUGUGACUAAGAGCUUAGAAACUGUGAUUACUUGAUGGGACAAUUGUCUUCAUUGAAAAUUUUCCUAUCAAAAUCUUCUUGUAUACCAUACAGAAACUCGUCUUUGUUCUAUUUCCAUGAAUUUGUUGACAUCAAGCUUUAUUAGUUUAACUGCCUGCAGACUUCUAUAGCAUUUACAAGCCUUGUCGUUGCCGCCAUCCCAACAGUCUACGUAAGUCAUAUGACACAUCAAACUAUAUUCAAGAUAUCUGAAAUUUCACACAAGAUGAAAUUGAUCUCAUUAUCAAGCUUCAUAGGCUCUUGGGCAACAGGUAAAUUGAUUAAAUAAAUAAUUUUUGCUCGUAACUAUUUAAAUUGACGCGUCAAUAUAGUUCUUAUUAACGGAUCAUGUUGUUAUUUUAAAAAGUUCUUUUAUUUGUAACUUCAAAUGGAAAUCGAGAAUUUUGCAGAUUUACAGAUAUAAUAAGUUAAAAUACAAAUUGGUAUUUGAAUUCUUUUUUUAUUUUGUGAAUAUUUUGCCUGCAAUAUAAGUUCCAAUUAUUUGAAUUUCUGGAUUUGUUUUAGAAAUUUUUUCAAUUUGUUGAAUUGAAUCUGGCUUUAAAUUGAUUUAUUUAAGGCAAUUUUAAUUUAAGUUUCAAUUUUCAAUUGGGCACAAUUUUUGUUUUAUUAAAUAGAGUUAAAUUGAGAGAUUAACAGAUGUUAAUGGAUGCUUAAUUAGGUGGUCAUUGAUUGCCAGCAGACUUCCAGGAAGAACAGCAAAUGAUGUAAAGAAUUACUGGAAUUGCCACAUAAGCAAAAGACUAAAUGCUAAAGAAACCAAACAGAAGCAAAUUGCAAGAAACCCACCUCAGCCUGAAAAUCCUGCAACAAGCCCAAGAAGCCCAGAAGGCCCAAGUUACUUGCAACCACAACAUGUAGAACCCAGUAGAUGUAGCCCAUUAGCAGCAAUCCAUGUGACUGAAGACGGACAGGGCCCACGUGUGAUUCAAGAGAAGGAGAAUUGCUAUUCUGGAUUUGAAGAUCGUGGGUUUUUUGCUGACUUGGAGUUGGAGUUUGGGAAUUUUUUUGAAGAUAAUAAGGUGGCAUUUGGUAAUGAUCAUUUCAGCAGCAAAAAUGAGUGGGAUGACUUGAUCUCCGACCUUGAUUUUUGAAUUGAAAAAAUUUGUAAUUUGAUUAGUUGUUUGGUAAAAUUUUAGUAGCAUUGCUAAGAAAAAAAAAUUCUCAAACUUAGUUAAUGGAUUCAGCAAUUGAUGAUAAUUUCUAUCUACUUCUAAUAGUUGAUUAAUACCCUUACUGAAUGUUUAUAAUGUAUUUGUUUGGUGCAAAAUCAGUUAUAAUUU
Molecule: long non-coding RNA, 7493 nt
Filed under: Jatropha curcas
Lineage: Eukaryota; Viridiplantae; Streptophyta; Magnoliopsida; Malpighiales; Euphorbiaceae
Description: long non-coding RNA (JCUR_LNC003137)
Source: RNAcentral